CAGGCCUAACACAUGCAAGUCGAGCGCUUGGGGUGUUCCCUUACGGGAAACCCCCUGGAGCGGCGGACGGGUGAGUAACACGUAGGCAACCUGCCUGUAAGAUCGGGAUAACUACCGGAAACGGUAGCUAAGACCGGAUAGCUGGUUUCUCCGCAUGGAGGGAUCAUGAAACAUGGGGCAACCUAUGGCUUACGGAUGGGCCUGCGGCGCAUUAGCUAGUUGGUGGGGUAACGGCCCACCAAGGCGACGAUGCGUAGCCGACCUGAGAGGGUGAUCGGCCACACUGGGACUGAGACACGGCCCAGACUCCUACGGGAGGCAGCAGUAGGGAAUCUUCCGCAAUGGGCGCAAGCCUGACGGAGCAACGCCGCGUGAGUGAUGAAGGUUUUCGGAUCGUAAAGCUCUGUUGCCAAGGAAGAACGCCUCGGAGAGUAACUGCUCUGAGGGUGACGGUACUUGAGAAGAAAGCCCCGGCUAACUACGUGCCAGCAGCCGCGGUAAUACGUAGGGGGCAAGCGUUGUCCGGAAUUAUUGGGCGUAAAGCGCGCGCAGGCGGUCUUUUAAGUUUGGUGUUUAAGCCCGGGGCUCAACCCCGGUUCGCACUGAAAACUGGGAGACUUGAGUGCAGGAGAGGAAAGCGGAAUUCCACGUGUAGCGGUGAAAUGCGUAGAGAUGUGGAGGAACACCAGUGGCGAAGGCGGCUUUCUGGACUGUAACUGACGCUGAGGCGCGAAAGCGUGAGGAGCACAG
RNAcentral lists this ribosomal RNA (750 nucleotides) under uncultured bacterium. RNAcentral describes it as "bacterial SSU rRNA". It matches the Rfam family "Bacterial small subunit ribosomal RNA", at positions 43 to 773 of the family's 1533-position model. The record is from RNAcentral.